UACGUAGGUGACAAGCGUUGUCCGGAUUUACUGGGCGUAAAGAGCGCGCAGGCGGUCGUUCAAGUCGAGUGUGAAAGCCCCCCGGCUCAACUGGGGAGGGUCAUUCGAUACUGAUCGACUCGAAGGCAGGAGAGGGGUAGUGGAAUUCCCGGUGUAGUGGUGAAAUGCGUAGAUAUCGGGAGGAACACCAGUGGCGAAGGCGACUACCUGGCCUGUUCUUGACGCUGAGGCGCGAAAGCUAGGGGAGCAAACGGGG
RNAcentral lists this ribosomal RNA (256 nucleotides) under uncultured bacterium. Its description in RNAcentral is "partial 16S ribosomal RNA". It matches the Rfam family "Bacterial small subunit ribosomal RNA", at positions 524 to 777 of the family's 1533-position model. The record is from RNAcentral.